Non-coding RNA from Podospora conica, 115 nucleotides. The record is from the annotation of a GenBank genome assembly. Lineage: Eukaryota; Fungi; Ascomycota; Sordariomycetes; Sordariales; Podosporaceae.
GGACCGCUAGCUCAGUGGUAGAGCAACCGGCUGCAGCGUUCCAUUCCCCUCGCCUCGGCGAUUCGGUGGAGCAAGUGGUUCCGGUAGGUCUCGUGUUCAACUCACGAGCGGUCCU